GACGAACGCUGGCGGCGUGCUUAACACAUGCAAGUCGAACGGAAAGGCCCUGCUUUUGUGGGGUGCUCGAGUGGCGAACGGGUGAGUAACACGUGAGUAACCUGCCCUUGACUUUGGGAUAACUUCAGGAAACUGGGGCUAAUACCGGAUAGGAGCUCCUGCUGCAUGGUGGGGGUUGGAAAGUUUCGGCGGUUGGGGAUGGACUCGCGGCUUAUCAGCUUGUUGGUGGGGUAGUGGCUUACCAAGGCUUUGACGGGUAGCCGGCCUGAGAGGGUGACCGGCCACAUUGGGACUGAGAUACGGACCAGACGCCUACGGGAGGCAGCAGUGGGGAAUAUUGCACAAUGGGCGGAAGCCUGAUGCAGCAACGCCGCGUGCGGGAUGACGGCCUUCGGGUGGUAAACCGCUGUCGCCUGUGACGAAGCGUGAGUGACGGUAAUGGGUAAAGAAGCACCGGCUAACUACGUG
This 468-nucleotide ribosomal RNA is filed under the name uncultured bacterium. RNAcentral describes it as "partial 16S ribosomal RNA". It matches the Rfam family "Bacterial small subunit ribosomal RNA", at positions 28 to 507 of the family's 1533-position model. The record is from RNAcentral.